RNAcentral lists this transfer RNA (76 nucleotides) under Xenococcaceae cyanobacterium MO_167.B27. RNAcentral describes it as "tRNA-Gln". It matches the Rfam family "tRNA". Rfam says of the family: Transfer RNA (tRNA) molecules are approximately 80 nucleotides in length. Their secondary structure includes four short double-helical elements and three loops (D, anti-codon, and T loops). Further hydrogen bonds mediate the characteristic L-shaped molecular structure. tRNAs have two regions of fundamental functional importance: the anti-codon, which is responsible for specific mRNA codon recognition, and the 3' end, to which the tRNAs corresponding amino acid is attached (by aminoacyl-tRNA synthetases). tRNAs cope with the degeneracy of the genetic code in two manners: having more than one tRNA (with a specific anti-codon) for a particular amino acid; and 'wobble' base-pairing, i.e. permitting non-standard base-pairing at the 3rd anti-codon position. RNAcentral also lists the same sequence under 1 other name. Lineage: Bacteria; Bacillati; Cyanobacteriota; Cyanophyceae; Pleurocapsales; Xenococcaceae. The record is from RNAcentral.
UGGGGAGUCGCCUAAUGGUAUGGCAUCGCUCUUUGACAGCGAAACAAUGUAGGUUCGAUUCCUACCUCCCCAGCCA